UUCCCCCAGUAGCGGCGAGCGAACGGGGAGCAGCCCAGAGCCUGAAUCAGUGUGUGUGUUAGUGGAAGCGUCUGGAAAGGCGUGCGAUACAGGGUGACAGCCCCGUACACAAAAAUGCACAUACUGUGAGCUCGAUGAGUAGGGCGGGACACGUGGUAUCCUGUCUGAAUAUGGGGGGACCAUCCUCCAAGGCUAAAUACUCCUGACUGACCGAUAGUGAACCAGUACCGUGAGGGAAAGGCGAAAAGAACCCCGGCGAGGGGAGUGAAAAAGAACCUGAAACCGUGUACGUACAAGCAGUGGGAGCACGCUUAGGCGUGUGACUGCGUACCUUUUGUAUAAUGGGUCAGCGACUUAUAUUCUGUAGCAAGGUUAACCGAAUAGGGGAGCCGAAGGGAAACCGAGUCUUAACUGGGCGUUAAGUUGCAGGGUAUAGACCCGAAACCCGGUGAUCUAGCCAUGGGCAGGUUGAAGGUUGGGUAACACUAACUGGAGGACCGAACCGACUAAUGUUGAAAAAUUAGCGGAUGACUUGUGGCUGGGGGUGAAAGGCCAAUCAAACCGGGAGAUAGCUGGUUCUCCCCGAAAGCUAUUUAGGUAGCGCCUCGUGAAUUCAUCUCCGGGGGUAGAGCACUGUUUCGGCAAGGGGGUCAUCCCGACUUACCAACCCGAUGCAAACUGCGAAUACCGGAGAAUGUUAUCACGGGAGACACACGGCGGGUGCUAACGUCCGUCGUGAAGAGGGAAACAACCCAGACCGCCAGCUAAGGUCCCAAAGUCAUGGUUAAGUGGGAAACGAUGUGGGAAGGCCCAGACAGCCAGGAUGUUGGCUUAGAAGCAGCCAUCAUUUAAAGAAAGCGUAAUAGCUCACUGGUCGAGUCGGCCUGCGCGGAAGAUGUAACGGGGCUAAACCAUGCACCGAAGCUGCGGCAGCGACGCUUAUGCGUUGUUGGGUAGGGGAGCGUUCUGUAAGCCUGUGAAGGUGUGCUGUGAGGUAUGCUGGAGGUAUCAGAAGUGCGAAUGCUGACAUAAGUAACGAUAAAGCGGGUGAAAAGCCCGCUCGCCGGAAGACCAAGGGUUCCUGUCCAACGUUAAUCGGGGCAGGGUGAGUCGACCCCUAAGGCGAGGCCGAAAGGCGUAGUCGAUGGGAAACAGGUUAAUAUUCCUGUACUUGGUGUUACUGCGAAGGGGGGACGGAGAAGGCUAUGUUGGCCGGGCGACGGUUGUCCCGGUUUAAGCGUGUAGGCUGGUUUUCCAGGCAAAUCCGGAAAAUCAAGGCCGAG
Molecule: ribosomal RNA, 1283 nt
Filed under: Shigella flexneri
Lineage: Bacteria; Pseudomonadati; Pseudomonadota; Gammaproteobacteria; Enterobacterales; Enterobacteriaceae
Description: partial 23S ribosomal RNA
Rfam family: Bacterial large subunit ribosomal RNA
Source: RNAcentral